This 12443-nucleotide long non-coding RNA is filed under the name Brassica napus (rape). RNAcentral describes it as "long non-coding RNA (BNAP_LNC008271)". Lineage: Eukaryota; Viridiplantae; Streptophyta; Magnoliopsida; Brassicales; Brassicaceae. The record is from RNAcentral.
CAGAACUCUUGAUUGCAGCCAGUGGCACAGGAGCUAGGAAUUAGAGUGGUUCCAACCUUUAAGAUCUUGAAGGACAACAAGGUGAUAAAGGAAGUGGUCGGGGCAAAAUUUGAUGAGUUGCUUGCAGCCAUUGAGGCAGCGAGGUCAGGCUGAGCCUCUCUCUCUAUAUAUAUAUCACUCCUGCUAUAGAGUAUUAGGAUCAUUCUCCAUCAACAUGUAAUUGGUUCGGCUCUAUGUAUGUAAACUCUCUGCUGUUCCUUAAACUGGAUUCAGUUGUAAUGUUAACAGUGUAUGUAUAAACGCUGGAAAGUUAUGAAGUAUGAUGAGCUAUAUGCUUUAUAUAUCAAAAGUUUCAUUAACUAGUGGUUAAGCUAGUUCUUGAUUUGAGGUUGAGAAGUUCUUUCCACUGCACAAGCUUGAUUGAUGACUUAAAAUUUGGAGAGUAACAUGGAUUGUUGAAACAAAGAUUAUGGUGUAUGUGCUUGUUUUCAAUGGAUGUUCCAACUAGAUUUUUAACAAGUCAUAAUUUCAUUGUAGUUGUUCACCAAAUCCAAUUUGGCCUAGUAUUAUAACUUUAAUCUAUUUGGCAUAUUGUAUACUAGGCCAAUGUACUUGGAUUUAUUCAUAUAUUCAUAAUUUUUGAAUUUAUAAUUUAUUGACAAAGAAAUCUUAUGAUUUUUCUAUAUUAAUUAUCAUUUUUAUGAGAAAUUUACUACCAUAAUCAUUUUUAAGUUUUUGUCACAAAAAUAGUUCUUAAAGAAAAAAAUGACCAAAAUAAGUUUUAUUAAAGGAUAAAAAUAUAUUUUUACCUAAGUUAACUAAUCUAGACUUAUGGUUUAUAUUCGAAGGGUUGAAUUUUGGGGAUAAAGUUUCAAUUUUUUUUAAAAAUAAAAAAUGUAUUAAAAAAUUCAAAAUAAAAAAAAAAGUUAUUUUGGUUAUUUUCUUUUUUGAGAGUUAUUUUUGUAACAAAACUAAAAAAAAAAAGCUAUUUGAGAGAAUUGUUUUUUUUCUCUAUCGGUAAUUUAAAGAAAAUGUAUUAAAAAAAUGAGACAAAAAGAAAAUAGACAAAGCUACCGAUCAUAGCUGACACGUGGCAAGAUCUGGAAGCGAUUUAUAAUCAUAAGAAACGAGAUCCGAGUCUCUCAGACAAAUCUCUAUCUCUCUCUCUCUCUAUAGCUGGAGUGAACUGUUGAGGCCUUUGGUUUCAUCGAGAGACCCCUAAAACCCGAUCUGCAACAAGAAUGGCGUCUUCUCCGUUCUCCCUCACGUCCCCGGCUGCUUCCGUCUAUGGAGCCACCCAAACCUCGUCGCAGUUACCUCUCCCAACCACUCGCUCUCGUCUACCUCGCAGAGUUUCCUUCCGUCUCUCCGCCAAGCCUAAGCUUCGCUUUCUCUCCAAGGUACACACCCUUCUCUCCCAUAAAGGAUUGGCCUUUUUGUGUAUUUAUCAACUGUAUUUUUGGGAGUUAUGUCUCUGAUAGGCUAGUUUAAUACCCCAUCAUAGCAGUUUGGUCUUAAUCCUGUUUGGUCUCAUGUCUGAAUCCCCUGAAAAUGCAUUUAAUCAUUUUGUUUUAUGUAACUUUUGUGGCAUUUGAUAAUUGCAGCCUAGUCGCAGUAGCUACCCUGUGGUGAAAGCCCAAUCCAACCAGGUAAGCUUUUUAAUUACUGAUCUCUUUGAGACAAUCAAAACAGUUAUUCAUUUCUGGGACUCUACUCCUGUCUUUAAAGGUUGGUGGCAGUGCAUCAUCAAAAGCUUCAGCUCCUGCAAAAAUUGAUGAGCCAUCAGCUAAAGAAAAGAAUGCUUCUUCUUCUUCUUCAGCUGAUUUAGCUACAGAGGAGUCUAUCUCUGAGUUCUUGACCCAAGUAACAACUCUUGUCAAGUAAGUACUGUUUCCUUGUUACAUCACAUAAACGUGUCAACGUCCAUGAUUGAAGAAUAUACUCUUACCUCCGUCGUGCAGGCUUGUGGAUUCGAGAGACAUUGUUGAGUUGCAGUUGAAACAGCUCGACUGCGAGCUUGUCAUUCGGAAAAAGGAAGCUUUACCUCAGCCGCCUCAAUCCCCUGCGCCUUAUGUUAUGAUGCAGCAACCAAACCAACCAUCUUAUGUGCAAUCAGCUCCUCCUCCUCCUGCACCUGCUGCUGCCUCACCUGCGCCUUCUUCUACCCCAGCCUCCUCGCCUCCACCAUCCCCACCUAGUCCGGCGAAAUCAUCGCUUCCAACUGUUAAAAGUCCCAUGGCAGGCACAUUCUACCGUAGUCCAGGACCUGGUGAACCACCCUUUAUCAAGGUUAGGAUACUUUGUUCAUUUCUUUAGCCUAUAACUCUACAAAUACUUUUAUUUCUAAACAGCCUGGAUCCUGUUUGCUAAUUUCUUUAGCUCAGAACUGUAUAGAGACUUUUUAAGUACCUGAUCAUUUGUAAAUAGUCCAAACUCUAUUUACUAAUUUCUUUAGCUCAUAACCCAGGUAGAGGUUAUGUGCUUAGUAAAUUUGAAAGAAGAAGAAUGAAAACGAUAAAUAUAGGAUAAUCCUAUGAAAUGGGCAUGUCCAUAAGUAGCCAUUUUCUAUCUUUUUUUGCAUUUCACUGUCUGGAUUCGUAAUAAUAUGACUUUCUUGCUGCUUUAGGUUGGAGACAAAGUGCAGAAGGGACAAGUUCUAUGCAUCGUUGAAGCCAUGAAGUUAAUGAAUGAAAUAGAGGUGCGUUCCUUAGUCAUGCCUUACCAAUUUUGUUUUCCACUAACGACGAAUCAUCUAUCACUUUUCGUUACAAUAUCCAAUCUCUAUCAUUCACUUGUCAAUUCUACUAGGAAGAAUUCUUGUGCUUACUGUGUAACAAUUCUGUCAUGAUCCCAAAUCCUCCCUCUUAAACCUUUUGAGGUUGAAAAAACCAUUAUUGACUCAACUCAUCCCUUAAACUUCUUAUCCUCAGUCUGAUCAAACGGGAACGGUAGUCGAUAUCGUUGCAGAAGAUGGCAAGCCUGUUAGCCUUGACACUGUAAGUUUUUCUCAAUCCUCUAUCUUUAACACAUUCAAGAACCACAUUUUGCAUUUUUUUUAGUACAUCAUUUUAAUUGUAAAUAAUGAUAUAGAACUUCCUAGAAUUGAAAUAGAUCUCUACUAAUAUCAAUAUUUAUUGUUUUUCCUGGUUUUAUUACAGCCUCUGUUUGUGGUUCAACCGUAGAAUCUACACCACGAGAGAUGGAAAAAUGAGGCUACUUUAAUUCAAUCUCUGUGCUGUUUCUUGAGUCUCUAAGAAUGUGUCUUCUUCAUUGUUACUGUCAAACUCUGUUAGGUUUUUUUGGUUUGGUGAGGAAGAAAGAGUUUUUAAGUUUCUAUUGGUUAAAACCAAAAAAAAAGUCGACGCUCUGUUUUAUUUAUUUUCUUAUUACGUACAUACACACGCAUUCUUGGUUCUGUUUUAUGGACAUUGCAAUUUCUCUACUUCAAAAGUAUGGGUGGGUACUUCGGUUAUUUUCUCGGUUCGGGUUCGGUUCGGUUAGUUCGGUUCUAGUAUUUUUCCAAUGGAAAUAAACCAUAGUUAAUUCGGUUUGGUUCGGUUCGGUUUAUAUUCGGUUCGGUUUGUUUUUUGGAUCAGUUUAAUUAGAUGCUUUUUAGUUUAGUUUUUUUCUUAGUUUAAUUUUAAUUAUGUUCUAAAACAUAAAUUAUGUGAACUAAAUUCAACAUAAAACUGAAACAUAUUUUUUUUUAAAGUCACAAAAAGUAUAUAAGAUUUAAAAUAAAUGAAAGUUAACUAACAUAAAAAAACCAACAUCAUUAGUAAUGUUUCUUAUAUCAUUAUUAAAAAUCUUGUAAUAAAUCAUCUUCCAUGUGAUCAUGUAGAGAAGAAUCUUUGUUUUUAAUAAAAUUUGCUUUAGGUUUUAGAUUUAGAUUUGACAUCCACAGUUAAAUAUACAAAAAUAUAAACAUACAAACUUUUCUAUUUUUUUUAAGGAUGAUUACAUAUUAGGUUAGAAAAAUAUAUGUUAAUGAAUGAAAAAUGGAAAAUACGUGAUAUAGUAUUAGAAUUUUAGUAUAUUGGUAUUGCUAAUAUUUUUAAUUUAAGUAAUUACAAAACACAUCGGUUUCUCGGUUUGGUUUGGUUUAAACCGAACCAUUCGGAUUGGAGAAAUCUUCAACCAAAUGGUUUGAAAUAGAUUCUGGUUCGGUUUGAAUCGGUUUCGAUUCAGUUGGUUCGGUUUGACUCGGUUCGGUUCGGGUUUUUUACCCACCCCUAUUCAAAAGUAUAAUCACCAAGCGGGCUGUUUAUUUCUUUAAACUCGGCCCGGCCCAUUAUACGUAAGGGCCCAACCAUGUAAGCAAAAUAAAAUCAAUUAACGAACAAUAAAUGAAACUGACAUAACGAAGAAACGGAUUUGUUCGCCGGAGGAGGAAACUUCAACCACCACUUUCGUCUCCGAUGAGUGCUCCUCGAAAUCUCUCCUUCCUCACCACCGCUCUCUUCUCCUCCAUCCUCUUCCUUCAGCUUUCCUCGCUACCGGAUCCUUCGUUCUACGAUUACCUCCGUGAGAGCGGUCUCCCCGCGGGUAUAGUCCCCAAGGGAGUCACCAAUUUCUCAAUCGACGCCAAAACGGGGCGUUUCACCGUGGCUCUCCCCGUUCCCUGCGACGCGAAAUUCGAAAGCCAGUUCCACUUCGACUACAACAUCACCGGCGUCCUCUCCGAUGGUAGGAUCGGGAACUUAUCGGGCGUGACGCAGAAGGAGCUCUUCCUGUGGUUCGCCGUCAAGGGAAUACACGUGGAUCCGGAGAGCUCGGGGCUGAUCCACUUCGAUGUCGGUGUUGCUGAUAAGCAGAUGUCUCUCUCCCUCUUCGAGUCGCCUCGUGAUUGCACCGCCGCGGUGUAUGAACACCGUGUGGUUGAUCUCUCUGAGCCCCGUGAUUUGGAGGUAACGUUGUUGUGUCUUUGCAUUAGCUAGGGUUUUAGAUUUUUCCCCAAAUUAAAUAUUGAUUAGGAUUAGGAAAAUAAAAAUUAAAAAAAAAAAUAUUGAUUAGGAAUCAAUGUUGAUCUUAUUAAUCUCUUAUUUUUACAAUGCAGAAGCAAUCUUCUGGAGAUAUCCAAUCCAUCUUCGUACCACCAAGGAAUCGCUGGAGAGUAUCAUCUAGUUUUUUUUUUAAUUAAAAUGCAAAUCCAUCUCUCUCGUAUGGUGUGUCUUGUAAAUAGUUUUGGCUUGUAGUUCUUCUUCUUUAACAGUAUAAAGCUUCAAUAAACAAACUUAGGAUGCAUUACUAAUAGUAAUAGUACUCUUUGGGGUUUGUAACAGAUUAGGGGUUUAAGACAUAAUUUGCUUGUGGAUUUUUAUCAGAGAUUGGUGUGUUUGUUAUUAAAUUCUAACACUUUUUGGAUGUACAUUGUAAACGAAAGGAAGUUGAAUUCACCAAUUAAAAUUUAUUGUGAGAUGUCACUUGAUAAAUGGAAAGAUGACUAGAGAAAUGAGAUUUGCAUUGUUAGGCCAGGGACGGAUCGGGUAUCCGGACAAUUUUAAGAUAUCCGGAUCCUUAUCCGGCGGAUCCAUAAUUUUACUAUCCUUAUCCGGAUCCGGGUGUCGGAUGUCCUUCUAAAAAUUAUAAUAUCCGGCGGAUAUCCGGAUCCAGAUUUGGAUCCUUAAAAUAAAUAAAAAAUAAUAUUAAUAUAUAUAAAAUAUUAACAAUAAUUUAAAAAUAAAAAUAUAUAAUGUUUUUAAUUAUUUCUAUGUAUAAUAUUACAAAAUUUACAUAAAAUUUAUAUAUACUAUUAUAAAAAUGAAAAUAUAUUAAAUAAAAUUAGUUUUUAUAUAUAGAUAUUACUAUUUUUGAAAUAGUUAUUAAUAAAAUUUACGGACCCGGAUAUCCGGACUAAAAAAUCAAGAUAUCCGGAUCCGGAUUCGGCUUUGACGGAUCCAACAUUUUAUUAUCCGGAUCCGGAUUCGGCCUCUCCGGAUAUCCGGAUUUUCGGAUCGGAUCCGGUUCGGAUCACGGAUCGAAUCCGGAUCUCGGAUAAAAGUUCCAGGCCUGUGUAGAACAGAGACCAAGAGUCAGAUCGAUCAAUGAAUGAUGAUGCUAUCCAUCUAAGCUCGUUUACAUAUGAUUUUAUAUCGAAAUGAAUUUAUAUACUGCAGUGUUAAAAAAAAAAAAAAAAUUUAUAUACUGCAAAACAGGGGUCAAUAUCAGGUAUUGAUCAAAUCGGUUCUUCAGGCUAAACCUAAAGAAGCUAAACCAGUAUAUUCUGUGAGCUGUUUUCUUCUACCUAAGACUACUUGUGAUGAAAUUAAUGCAAUUUUAUUGGAGUUCUGGUGGGGAAGGGUGAGGAACGAAGAAAAAUUUCUUGGGUCUCUUGGAAAAAGUUGUGUUUACGGAAAAAGAAGAAGGUAUGAGUUUUAGAGACUUAUAUAGUUUUAACAAGGCCUUACUUGCAAAGCAAGCAUGGCGGAUUUGGCAAAAUCCGAAUUCCCUUUUGAGUAGACUUUAUAAGGGAAGAUAUCAUCAUUCGUCGACUUUCUUACAGUCUUCGAAUACUAAGCAAGCCUCUUAUGGCUGGAAAUCAAUUCAAGUAGGCAAGGAACUACUUCGAAAAGGACUUUGCACAAUGAUUGGUGAUGGAAAAAAGACUAAUGUUUGGAUGGAUCAUUGGAUACCAGUUGUCCUGCCAAGACGUGCUAUACAAGUUUCAUAUAAUCGGAAUAUGAAAGUGGAAGAGUCUAUUGAUCAGGAUACAUCAACGUGGAAUGUUCAGAAACUGCAGCUUUAUUUAUAGCCUAUUGAUGUGGAACAAGUAUUGAAGAUCAAGUUAUCUCGGUUUGCUCCAAAAGAUCAUUUAAUAUGGUCUUUCACGAAAGAUAUGCAGUACACAGUCAAGUCGGGAUACUGGACAGCUACUCACUAUUAUCACGAGGGAGAUGAGAUCUUAAGACCUGAAGGCUCUUUAGAAAUUAAAGGAAAAAUUUGGAAGUUGAACAUCUUGCCAAAGAUAAAACAUUUUUUAUGGAGAGUGAUAUCAGGAGCACUAGCUACGUAUACAAAUCUUUGUACUCUUGGGAUUAAUAUUGAUCCUACAUGCCAGAGGUGUUGUCUAGAAGAUGAAUCCAUGAAUCAUGUUUUAUUCCUUUGCCCUCAUGCUAAGGUUAUUUGGAGAUGUUCAGGUAUUAUCUCAGUCCAUCUAUCUUCAAAUACCUUGGAAGAUAAUAUUCAACUUCUUUUUAGCAUAAUGGAAUCUUUACCGGAUUUGGAGCUAAAUAAAUUACUAGUCUUCUGGAUUCUGUGGCUGAUUUGGAAAUUAAGGAAUGAAUUUAUUUUCAAUAAGAGAAAUAUUCAUCCUAGUGAAAACAUUAAAAGAGCAAUGGAUUCAAAUAUUGAAUGGUAUAGGAAUGUUCUUCAAACUGGACAGCAAAGAAGAGGAUACGGUGCUAAAUCAUCGAAAUGGGAACCUCCUCUUUGUAAUUGGGUAAAAUGCAAUUUUGAUUAUAGCUCUGGCUCUAAUAGCGUGGUUGAUGUGAUUGGAUGGAUUUCAAGAGAUCAUAAUGGAGUUUUUUUGGGAGCUGGAAAUGCUCAAAUUGGAAAAGUUCGAUCAUAAUGGAGUUUUUUUGGGAGCUGGAAAUGCUCAAAUUGGAAAAGUUCAAUCAUCCAUUAUAGGUGAGACCAUGAGUUUUCUGUUUGCUCUGCAACAGAUAUGGGUUCGUGGUUGGAGAAGAGUAUGGUUUGAAGGCGAUAAUCAAGAACUCUGUCUUAUUAUUAACCAAGUGAAAGAACAUAUUGAUUUGGGGAACUACUUAUGUGAUAUAAGGUAUUGGAUGGUUUUAUUAUCAGAGUGUUCAUUGGAGUAUGUGAAUCGCGAAAAGAAUCAGGCAGCGAAUGUUCUGGCAAAACAAGCUAGAUCGUAAUAUUUCUUUUCAUAUUUUUUUAUGUUCCUUCUGCUUGGUUGAUUCAGUAUUUGUAUUCACCUUUAACAAUUUAAUUAAUAAAGUUCUUGUGGUUAAAAAAAAAAUGUUCUGAUUUAACGCAACAAUUAUUUUUAAGUCAUAUUAAAGCCAACAAAAUUUACUAUCACUAACAGAAUUCGCCAAGAUAGAAUUAAAGCUUGUUAAGCGUCUUUGGUCGUUGUUCAAACAAAAAAAAAAGAGUCUUUGGUCAACAAACGGGUCAAAUGUUACAACUUAUAGCAAUUAAAAACGUGAACGGCAGGAUUCGAACCUGCGCGGGCAAAGCCCACAUGAUUUCUAGUCAUGCCCGAUAACCACUCCGGCACGUCCACUUCUUGUUUAACUAUCAGCUACACAAAAUAUCUAUUGUCAUCGCAGAUAUAUAUAUAUAUCCAAUACUGAACGUUUGAUCAACCUCCUACCAAAAUGCUGAACUUUGAAAUUUUUCAAAAAACUGCUAUGGGUGAAUUAUUCAUAUAGUAGUCACUAGUUUGUUGUUGCUAUAAGAUCAUCUCGAAUAGUACUCUAUAAUUUCCUCUAAUUUUACUCUAAUAUAGAAUUACUCUGAUUCGGGCUUUAGAGCAUGAUUAUCCCUAGAAACCCAUAAGAUUUCUUAAGUACACUUUAAUGACUAUUUAAUUAUUAAAUUUUGGCUAAGGAUCUUAGUUAAGAAUCACUUAAUUUUUGUGCUACAAUGGUAGUUUAUUAAUUUGGGUUUCUUAAAAAAAAAUUAACUUUUUUUUAACCAUUCGAGUAAAUGCUUGAUAUACAAACAAACGCCACAAAACCCUAGAACACUUGGAAGAAGUAGACGAUCAAUCAUUAUAUAAAAAACUAGGCUAAACCCGCCCUACGAGCGGGCGAAUAUAUAAAUUAAUAGUAUAAAAUUGUUUUAAUGUUUAAUUUAUUACAAUUAUUUCUUUUACUAUAUUUAAAAAAAAAUAUAAUUAUAACUAUAACAAUAGGUGAAUAGAUUUUCAUAAAAUUAUAGUAUUGGAAUUAGUAGAAUAAAAUUAUUUCCGCUCUCCAUUAUAUAUUUGUUUCAUGAUUAAAUUUUUUCUUUCUUAAAACUAAUGAUAUACAUGACAUAAAAUAAAUAACUUAUUCGUUAUAACUAUAAAUAUUUUGAAAUAGAUAUAUAGAUACUAUGAAACUAUCAUUUCUAUUUAUACAUAUACAUAUACAUAUCUGUAAACGAUAUGGGCUUGGAACAUCAUCAUCUCGACAAAAAAAAUAAGAAAAGGUUCAUGUGUUUAAUUGCAUAUAGACGGUUGGAGUUGUCCUUUGGUUAGGUGAGAUUAAAUUCAAAAAGAAAUGAAAGAAAAAGGACCAAACUAUAAAUAGAUGUAACUUAAGUUAUUUAUCAGAUCGAGGGUCUUCUACACCUAUAUCGGCCGAUCUCAAACUCUGGGAUUAGGCUCGUCGCCUGUUGAUGGCGGUUUGAGAUCCUCUGCAAUUGUAGGUGACAUCGACGACUGUGCGAGCUGAGAUGGCUGUUGGAUGUGAGAUUAGAAGGUCGCGGCGGUGAAAAGAGGAACACGACUCACGCCGCGGAGAAGCUUAAACACGACCAUGGAGGGAUGCAAUCGCGGUUGGACCACCGGAGAACAAUCUGACCUGCGAGAUAGAUGACAGGAGAAGUCGUGGGGUGGCAUGGCAAGGAGGUCGCUGAGACUAAUAAGGUAAGAGAAGAACUUUGAUAUUAGCCAUUUUUCUUAGAGCAAGUUUAUUUCGUAAGUUAAUCAAAUUGAAAAUAUGAUUUUGAGAAGAGGAUGUCUAACUUUCUUUUAUAGUUGCAAGUACACCGUCUCACAUAAGAGAAGCUCACAUUAAAUAAGAUCGUAGUGGCUCGAUUAAGGAGGGGUUUAAGGCUAUGCGUCUGUUACCGUGAAUGUUUCGAUCAGUGAGGAAGAAGAUCAAACGACGUGAGACAACUACCAACAGAUUCAUCACGUCAACGUCGGCGGCUCAAUCUCUCGAGCAUGUGGUGAAUCCUAGAAUCAAAACGACGCUUAGGGAUUCUCACUAUCGAGAUGGAUCCUUAGAGUAAACGUAAAGCCCACAUAAAACCGUAACCCAUUUUUUUUAAAUGAAAUGCAUCGUAUAGUAUAAAUGGACAGGUGUCACGCUGAGAAGAACCGAAUUUGUGACCUGGAAUCCUAGGUGGCCUCACCAGGAGGGAGUAAACUCUUCUUUAUAUAUAAAGAUAAUCUGGAAGGUCAAACCACCUAGCUAUAUUGACCCAACAGUUGCGUAUGUAUCAAUAUCAUGUAUGUCGUGUUUUAAUCGAUCAAUGUAGAUGGAGAGAUAAGGAACCUGAUAACUGUUGUUGAAGUUACCGUACACGAAGUGUGAUGCUUGUUUUACCAACGCCUUGAUCUUCAAGGAACACGAGUGUUAGACCUUCUUCUUCUUCUUGUCCAGGUAUGAAUAUUUCUGGUACAAUGAGAUACUACUAAUCAGGAGAGGAAGAGCCACGAGGCAAUACGAUGAAGGCGGUUUUCCUUCAAACGCAAACUGCAGCAGAGCGGUGACAAUUAUUUAGCUCCUCAUCUUGAUUAAAUAAUAGUCAGUAUGAGGGAGAAUCGUUGAGUUGUGUACCAGUGAUACAAUUAGGCCCACCAAUGCAUCCAUGAUAUGACUUUUGUGAUCCCACAACGACAUUCCAAAAAUCUGUAAACACAAUAUAAUUGAGAUGGAAUCCAAAGUAGAAGCAAUUGUAAGCAAUAGAAACUUACCGAAGAGAGAAGACUUCGAUGGUGGAGGAGGCUGUUGCUGCUGAACUUUCAGUGAACACUUGAUUCUUUUUCCAAAACCUCUCAAUUGAUUCCUCUUCCUCAAACUAAACCCACCUGUGACAACUCCAAACAUGUAAAUUUUCAUACUCUGGGAACUUAACUAACCCAAAACUAUCCAACUUUCAGAGCUAAAUCUCACAACUAGAGUGGUUCAAAUGCGAAGAAUUUACAGAUAAUUGAGUCAUAUGUCACAAGUUUGAAGAUACCCAUAUGGCAAAAGUGUCCAACUUUCUGAGGUAAAUCGAACAAUUAGUGUUUAAAAUCGAAGAAUUCACAGAGAAUUGAGUCAUAUGUUACAGUUUGAAGAUAUUUGCUUAAAAGCCUAAGAAGAACUAAUGAAAGAUUGAUGCUUUUUUUUUAAUCCAAACCUGGGAUUUUGGAGGUUGGAUUGAACCUAGAGGUAUCCAAGAAAGAAGAAAGAGAUUUGGAAUCACCUGGAGGUUGGAUCGAAUCGAAGAACUGCUGCUGCUGGUAUUGGCCGAGCUAGUGCCAUCGUCGUCCGGCCGAGACCACGACAGAAGAGGGAGAGACGACAAAAAGAAAAGAAAAGAGAGAGAAAAAAAAUGCACUUUUAAUGAUAAGCUGACACGUGGGUUAAAAACCCUCUUAAUAACCAGUCCCCAAAAUCCUAUAUUAAAGAUCGGUAACAUACAUUUUAUUUAAUUUUGAUUUAAUUAAAUGCUUUAUUAACUUUAAAAACUCUCUUAAGAAACCUGGAUAAUCAUGGUCUUAUUCUCUGAUUCACGAGGAACUCAUGGUGGUUUCUUCAUGGGCUGAUAAAGUGAUAAGAUAUGUAACCUUAUCUCCGUUGUCGGUAACCCAGGUCUCCUACACGAGACUCUUAUUUUUUUGGUAAAAAUGUUACAUUCAUUUACCGAUUAGUUCAAUUUUGUUCUAUUUAUAGGUAAAAUCUUCUAAGCCAAUAAUUAUAUAAAAAAAUUAUUUUGCGAGAGAGCGCUAAGAGAUGGAGGAACUUAAACCAUGCGCCGCAAACUCGCCGCCGUUAACACCGUUAAGUUUCUUGGAGAGAGCCGCGGGAUCUCUCUGUAGGUGUGGUCCGUGCAAAGUUAUGGCUCCUAAAUACAAAGAGCUAUCAGAGAAGUACCAGGACAUGGUGUUUCUUAAGCUCGACUGCAACGAAGAAAACAAGGUGUGUUAACUUUUUCUUUAUUCUUUUUUUUUUUUACUUGUUUCUUAAGUCGUAACACAGAACUCUUGAUUGCAGCCAGUGGCACAGGAGCUAGGGAUUAGAGUGGUUCCAACCUUUAAGAUCUUGAAGGACAACAAGGUGAUAAAGGAAGUGGCCGGGGCUAAAUUUGAUGAGUUGCUUUCAGCCAUUGAGGCAGCGAGGUCAGGCUGAGCCUCUCUGUCUCUACAUUUCACUCCAUGCUGUAGAGUAUUAGGACAAUUCUCCAUCAAUAUGUGUGUAAACUCUCUGCUGUUCCUGAAACUGGAUUCAGUUGUAAUGUAACAGUGUGUGUAUAAACGCUGGGAAGUUAUGAAAUAUGAUGAGCUAUAUGCUUUAUAUAUCAGAAGUUUCAUUAACUAGUGGUUUGGCUAGUUUUGAUUGAGGUCAAGAAAGUAUUUUCAUUGCACAAGCUUUACGACUUGAGAGAGUCGCAUGGAUUUGAUUUUGUGGGUUCUGAUUGUUGAAACAAAGAUGCAUCUUGUUCAGAGUUGGCUUACAUUUAUGAUGUAUGUGCUUGAUGUCAUUUGUCAAUGGAUGUUCCAA